AACGGUCUAUACCUGCGGUACCUGCGGAAGGAUCAUUACAGAGUUGCAAAACUCCCAAACCAUUGUGAACGUUACCUUCUCGUUGCUUCGGCGGGCGGCCCGGGUCCUUCCCGGCGCCCCCCGGCCCCUCGCGGGCGCCCGCCGGAGGUAAACCAAACUCUUGAAUUGUAUGGCCUCUCUGAGUCUUCUGUACUGAAUAAGUCAAAACUUUUAACAAUGGAUCUCUAGAUCGGAAGAGCA
Molecule: unclassified non-coding RNA, 240 nt
Filed under: soil metagenome
Description: partial contains 5.8S ribosomal RNA, internal transcribed spacer 2, and large subunit ribosomal RNA
Source: RNAcentral